RNAcentral lists this ribosomal RNA (292 nucleotides) under uncultured bacterium. RNAcentral describes it as "partial 16S ribosomal RNA". It matches the Rfam family "Bacterial small subunit ribosomal RNA", at positions 505 to 796 of the family's 1533-position model. The record is from RNAcentral.
GUGCCAGCAGCCGCGGUAACACGUAGGAGACGAGCGUUAUCCGGAUUUACUGGGUGUAAAGCGCGUGCAGGCGGUCGGGUAAGUUGGAUGUGAAAGCUCCUGGCUUAACUGGGAGAGGUCGUUCAAAACUGCCGGGCUAGAGUGCAACAGAGGGGAGUGGAAUUCCGAGUGUAGCGGUAAAAUGCAUAGAUAUUCGGAAGAACACCAGUGGCGAAGGCGGCUCUCUGGGUUGCAACUGACGCUCAGACGCGAAAGCUAGGGUAGCGAACGGGAUUAGAAACCCCGGUAGUCC